This 153-nucleotide unclassified non-coding RNA is filed under the name soil metagenome. RNAcentral describes it as "partial internal transcribed spacer 1". The record is from RNAcentral.
CAGAGUUAUCCAACUCCCAAACCCAUGUGAACUUAUCUCUUUGUUGCCUCGGCGCAAGCUACCGGGACCUCGCGCCCCGGGCGGCCCGCCGGCGGACAAACCAAAACUCUUGUUAUCUUAGUUGAUUAUCUGAGUGUCUUAUUUAAUAAGUCA